This 1282-nucleotide long non-coding RNA is filed under the name Gadus morhua (Atlantic cod). Its description in RNAcentral is "lncRNA (ENSGMOG00000023362.1)". The record is from RNAcentral. Lineage: Eukaryota; Metazoa; Chordata; Actinopteri; Gadiformes; Gadidae.
CGUAAUUACCUUUUAAAGGCCCACUAUGCAACUUUUUUAGCCAAAAUUACAUUAAGUAUGCAGGUUGAGAGUUAUGCUGAUGGUUCUGCAUCCAUUUCUGGGUCGAUUGGUGGGUGUGUCAUUUACCCAUGUCGCCUCUCCAGUGAAAAAGCGCAUAUGCAACUUGAUCUGUUCGGACCGACACAAUCCGGAUGUGACGCAGCGGAAGUAUCCUCGAAAAUGUAGUCAGAUUGUAGUUUCGAAAAUGCUUUACGGCACAGACACACACCCAAACAUGGCACCGGCUAGAUAUAAACAGCCAGUUGCGAGGCAAUUGUUGCAUUCAUCAUGGAUCAAUCGACUAAUGAUCAGCCGACUAAAAAGAGACAGAGAAACCCAAUGUCGGAGGAACAGAAGAAGAGAAAAGGGAGACUGACCGACAGAGAGGCCAGACACGAGUAAACGUUGGGCAAGCUUUUCAGGAAUAGCGUGAACUGAAAGAAAAAGAAGACUGCAAAUCAGACGCCGACUCGGCCGUGUUGCUUUUGAAAUUGAAAGUACCCUUGGGUGAACUUUGUCUUCGUGGUAUUCUUGAUUCUGAUAGUCUCUGUACAAAUGUGUUUGCUCAACCAUUUAGUUGUGAGCCCUGUAAAAAUUGUUUUCUCGACCGUUUUGUUGUGAGCCCUGUAUGUUUCUAGCUUGCUUGCAACCAUAUAAACACCUUUGUUUCCAUGGGUGUUUUGCUGUUCGUCUGUCCCCCAGAUACAGACUGAAUCCCCGAAUCCAGGUUCUUGUUUAUUUCGAUUAUUAUGUUGGCCAAACCUCUUACACUGAUUGUUCUGUUCAACCUAAGAUAAAACAAUUAUAACCUAGGGUAUAAAUUCUCCCGGUGAACUAUAAAAAAGGAUGGAUUUAUGUUUAUUGCAAUGCAAAUACACCCUUUUAAAAAUGUAUAACCUUGCCUACACUUUAUGAACAUCUACUUCGGACAUGGCUCCACGCAUUCGCCGGCUUCUUUGAAAACAAAUGCACAUGGCUCGCGUAGAAGUGCAUGGGGAAGGGACGUCAACGAGUUGUUACGACAGUGUUGUGAAAUAUCUACUACGAAGCUGUAGGGGGCGCUGUGUAGAGUAAUGUGCGUGCCAAAACCAAGAAAACAGCGAAGAUAUUCCCGAAGUUGCAUAGUGGGCCUUUAAGGCCUAGAGCUCGCUGCUCUACUACAGCUCGAUUGUUUGGCAUGGAGAUGUCAUCCUUUUUGAACGGGAGCUUUAGCUGGUAUUGUCCAUCUUUCAUUUUGGCGGAA